RNAcentral lists this ribosomal RNA (253 nucleotides) under uncultured bacterium. RNAcentral's name for it is "partial 16S ribosomal RNA". It matches the Rfam family "Bacterial small subunit ribosomal RNA", at positions 524 to 776 of the family's 1533-position model. The record is from RNAcentral.
UACGUAGGGUCCGAGCGUUGUCCGGAGUUACUGGGCGUAAAGCGCGCGCAGGCGGUGUCCUAAGCCCGGCGUGAAAGCCCCCGGCUCAACCGGGGAGGGUCGUCGGGGACUGGGACACUUGAGGGCGGCAGGGGCUGGUGGAAUCCCCGGUGUAGUGGUGAAAUGCGUAGAGAUCGGGGGGAACACCCGUGGCGAAGGCGGCCAGCUGGGCCGACCCUGACGCUGAGGCGCGAAGGCGUGGGGAGCGAACGGG